RNAcentral lists this ribosomal RNA (455 nucleotides) under uncultured bacterium. RNAcentral's name for it is "bacterial SSU rRNA". It matches the Rfam family "Bacterial small subunit ribosomal RNA", at positions 28 to 507 of the family's 1533-position model. The record is from RNAcentral.
GAUGAACGCUGGCGGCGUGCCUAAUACAUGCAAGUCGAACGGGUGUAGCAAUACAUUAGUGGCGAACGGGUGAGUAACACGUUGGUGACCUGCCCUAAAGAGGGGAAUACCACUUCGAAAGGAGUGACAAAACCGCAUACGCUUUUGGAAGUUAGAGAACCAAAAGGAAAAGUGAGAACUACUUUAGGAGGGGCCUGCGGCCCAUCAGCUAGUUGGUGAGGGUAAAAGCCCACCAAGGCGAAGACGGGUAGGGGACCUGAGAGGGUGAUCCCCCACAAUGGAACUGAAACACGGUCCAUACACCUGCGGGUGGCAGCAGUAGGGAAUAUUGCUUAAUGGGCGAAAGCCUGAAGCAGCAACGCCGCGUGAACGAAGAAGGCCUUCGGGUCGUAAAGUUCUUUUAGGUGGGAUGAGGAAGGACAGUACCACCAGAAUAAGUCUCGGCUAACUACGUG